Molecule: ribosomal RNA, 414 nt
Filed under: uncultured bacterium
Lineage: Bacteria
Description: bacterial SSU rRNA
Rfam family: Bacterial small subunit ribosomal RNA
Source: RNAcentral
AUUGAACGCUGGCGGCAGGCCUAACACAUGCAAGUCGAGCGGGGUUUUCGGACCUAGCGGCGGACGGGUGAGUAAUGCGUAGGAAGCUACCCGAUAGAGGGGAUACCAGUUGGAAACGACUGUUAAUACCGCAUAAUGUCUACGGACCAAAGUGUGGGACCUUCGGGCCACAUGCUAUCGGAUGCGCCUACGUGGGAUUAGCUAGUUGGUGAGGUAAUGGCUCACCAAGGCGACGAUCUCUAGCUGGUUUGAGAGGAUGAUCAGCCACACUGGAACUGAGACACGGCCCAGACUCCUACGGGAGGCAGCAGUGGGGAAUUUGGACAAUGGGCGAAAGCCUGAUCCAGCAAUGCCGCGUGCAGGAAGAAGGCCUUCGGUUGGUAACUAGCUUUGUUACGGAACGAAAGGACUCUU